GACGCCGAGAGGAAAGGAGUGACGCAGUGUGCUGCAGUGACAUGCUCGCUGUGAGUUACAAAAAUGUGGUGUAGGCGUUGCGUCGCUGGUUACCCCUUAAUGUAACCCCUCCACUACCCACCACCACCACGAGAACACCACCACCACCACCACCACCACCACGAGAACACCUCCACCACGACUACUGCCACCAUAACCACCGCCACCAUCACCACCACCACCACCAUGGAGUGAGGUGAGUAAGAGCCAGCACGAAAAGGAAGAUGGGUCCCAGUGCCCCGGUGUGGCGGUCAGUCUCGUCCCCGUGAUUCGGUUUGUCCCAUCCUGAUCUGCGCAUGCGCGGGCUUUGCUAUUUUGUCC
This is a long non-coding RNA of Eriocheir sinensis (Chinese mitten crab), 360 nucleotides long. RefSeq lists it as uncharacterized. NCBI's taxonomy places the organism in Eukaryota, Metazoa, Arthropoda, Malacostraca, Decapoda, Varunidae. The transcript has 3 exons. The record is from RefSeq and is a predicted model, not a curated record.